CGCUGGCGGCGUGCCUAACACAUGCAAGUCGAGCGGAGAUGAUGUGAGGAAGUUUCGGAUGGAAUCACAUUAUUUAGCGGCGGACGGGUGAGUAACGCGUGAGCGACCAACCUUGCACAGGGGGAUAACGGACCGAAAGGUUCACUAAUACCGCAUGAGACCACAGUGUUGCAUGACACAGGGGUCAAAGGAGCAAUCCGGUGCAAGACGGGCUCGCGUCCGAUUAGGUGGUUGGUGGGUAACGGCCCACCAAGCCUAUGAUCGGUAGCCGACCUGAGAGGGUGAUCGGCCACAUUGGAACUGAGAUACGGUCCAAACUCCUACGGGAGGCAGCAGUGGGGAAUAUUGGGCAAAUGGGGGAAACCCUGACCCAGCAACGCCGCGUGAAGGAAGAAGGUUUUCGGAUUGUAAACUUCUGUCCUUGGUGAAGAGAAGAAGACGGUAGCCAAGGAGGAAGCCCCGGCUAACUACGUGCCAGCAGCCGC
This 485-nucleotide ribosomal RNA is filed under the name uncultured bacterium. RNAcentral describes it as "bacterial SSU rRNA". It matches the Rfam family "Bacterial small subunit ribosomal RNA", at positions 34 to 518 of the family's 1533-position model. The record is from RNAcentral.